This 497-nucleotide ribosomal RNA is filed under the name uncultured bacterium. RNAcentral's name for it is "partial 16S ribosomal RNA". It matches the Rfam family "Bacterial small subunit ribosomal RNA", at positions 28 to 507 of the family's 1533-position model. The record is from RNAcentral.
GAUGAACGCUGGCGGCGUGCCUAAUACAUGCAAGUCGAGCGAACGGACGAGGAGCUUGCUCCUCUGACGUUAGCGGCGGACGGGUGAGUAACACGUGGAUAACCUACCUAUAAGACUGGGAUAACUUCGGGAAACCGGAGCUAAUACCGGAUAAUAUAUUGAACCGCAUGGUUCAAUAGUGAAAGACGGUUUUGCUGUCACUUAUAGAUGGAUCCGCGCCGCAUUAGCUAGUUGGUAAGGUAACGGCUUACCAAGGCGACGAUGCGUAGCCGACCUGAGAGGGUGAUCGGCCACACUGGAACUGAGACACGGUCCAGACUCCUACGGGAGGCAGCAGUAGGGAAUCUUCCGCAAUGGGCGAAAGCCUGACGGAGCAACGCCGCGUGAGUGAUGAAGGUCUUCGGAUCGUAAAACUCUGUUAUUAGGGAAGAACAAAUGUGUAAGUAACUAUGCACGUCUUGACGGUACCUAAUCAGAAAGCCACGGCUAACUACGUG